Beta vulgaris subsp. vulgaris (sugar beet) is the source of this 100-nucleotide small nuclear RNA. The record is from Rfam. Lineage: Eukaryota; Viridiplantae; Streptophyta; Magnoliopsida; Caryophyllales; Amaranthaceae.
GUCUCUUCGGAGACAUCUGAUAAAAUUGGAACGAUACAGAGAAGAUUAGCAUGGCCCCUACGCAAAUGAAAUGCAAUACCUUGUCAAAAGUCAUGCCUAA